RNAcentral lists this non-coding RNA (226 nucleotides) under Butyrivibrio proteoclasticus. Lineage: Bacteria; Bacillati; Bacillota; Clostridia; Lachnospirales; Lachnospiraceae. The record is from RNAcentral.
AAAAUCCUGCUUUGCGAAGGUCUAACCAACCAGCAAAUAGCGAGUCUUGCGUAGCAGUCGGUAACGACUGAUGCGAAGCGUAGACAGCGAGUUAGCAGGGAUGAAAUGCUAUUGAGCCUCGAAAAGAUAAAGUAUCCGUUCGGUCGACGGUUUUGCUGACCCGGAAGACAACAUCGUAGAUCACGUUAUUGGUGAGCGAUAUACGACACGGCGGGGUCAUAGGGCC